UACGUAGGAGACGAGCGUUGUCCGGAGUUACUGGGCGUAAAGGGCGCGUAGGCGGCUCGGCACGUCCGUUGUGAAAUCGCCCGGCUCAACUGGGCGGGGUCAGCGGAUACGGUCGAGCUUGAGCAAGCUAGGGGGCAAUGGAAUUCCCGGUGUAGCGGUGAAAUGCGCAGAUAUCAGGAGGAACACCAACAGCGAAGGCAGCACUCUGGGCCGGUACUGACGCUGAGGAGCGAAAGCAUGGGGAGCGAACAGG
RNAcentral lists this ribosomal RNA (253 nucleotides) under uncultured bacterium. Its description in RNAcentral is "partial 16S ribosomal RNA". It matches the Rfam family "Bacterial small subunit ribosomal RNA", at positions 524 to 776 of the family's 1533-position model. The record is from RNAcentral.